ACACGGCCAUAUCUCCAUGUUACAUCGCUUAUUUAUGGAAAACAGACGGAAGAGGCGACCACCUGUACUAAUUAUCUGUCAAGAAUGCUCCAAAUACCUGUGUGAAAGCGUAACUCGGGAAGUGUAGCAGAAGUGUAGUUUCGUUGGAUGGAGGCACCCAUAGCUGUGUAGAUAAUGUGCAAGAUUGCUACAGUAAGUGUAUGUUUUUUUUAUUUGAAGGAUUCUUUCUCGCUGAUGAAAGAUAAGGGUCAUACGUUUCGAAAGCUGUAUCGCGAGCGAUGAUUAUUGACGUUUCUAAACGUUAACACACAGCGUCGGGAUUAUAGUUCACGAGGCGGUCGUGGGCGAAGCUGAUGGCGGAGAAAUGUAGGGAGAGUUUCAGAGCUAACUCACAGCCUACUACAGCCUUGUAUAUAUUGUUUUUAUCUCCUGCAUUCAUUGCCAUGCCAUAUGUGUCCACCUACUCUGCUAUGCAUCUUAUCUGACACUAGGGGCACGACUCAGAGAGUCCAUCCACACUAGCCCAACUCCACUGGUUUUGCUAAAAAAUAUUAUGUAUUCAACUAUAUGACGGCAGAAAGUAAUGACAGAUUGUUCUGCUCCUUGCCCUCAGGGUCCAGUCGUUUACCCGGCUUUUUAUAUCUCCACACAGUUAUUUUUCCAGGUAGUUGUUGAAAUAAGAUGUUUUACUGUAAUUGACCUACCCGGUUAAAUAGCCUAAAUAAAAUAAUUAUAAUAAUGAAGUCUGUCUGUAAACUGUUAGGGAUUGACUGUGUUGAAUGCAAGGAUAGACGUAUCUUUAUACCCAGAUGUGAAAGGAUUCAGGAAAACAAAAGGACAUUGACCUUAUAUCCUGACCAAGAACUGCAAGUGUCAAAUACAGUGACCAGGAGCAGGUCUCAGCUGGCCAAGACGUGUCACGGGCGCUCCGGGGCUGUUGUGACCCGGGCCAACAUCCCGUUGUGGUCAAACGUCACUUACGACGACGACAAGAAAAAUCUCCUGGUCACCUCCAAACUGUUCAACAUGUUUGCCCAGGAGGUCUCCUUUCUCCCUCUGGCCCUGUCCCCAUCUCCAUCUGAAGGCAACUUGUGACCCGUGAGCUGGUCCCUAUCCUGCCGUGAAAUGAGGACCUGGUUCUCUAUAGCCUAGGUCCUGACCUGGCCUCACCAGCACCUUUUGCUUCCCGAUGAAGUUAUGUCUGUGUCAGAGCCAUAUGUGUCUCUAUAUUAGGCCUGGUAUGUGUUCAUACAAUUCCAGUUGUUGGCAUGUACUCUGCAUCGCAAAGGUAAGCAUCUCAGAGACCAGACGAUUAAACCAAUGUGUAUUGUUUGGUUUAUCCCUUUUGUAUUACAG
This 1356-nucleotide long non-coding RNA is filed under the name Salmo trutta (river trout). RNAcentral describes it as "lncRNA (ENSSTUG00000024490.1)". The record is from RNAcentral. Lineage: Eukaryota; Metazoa; Chordata; Actinopteri; Salmoniformes; Salmonidae.